This 435-nucleotide ribosomal RNA is filed under the name uncultured bacterium. RNAcentral's name for it is "bacterial SSU rRNA". It matches the Rfam family "Bacterial small subunit ribosomal RNA", at positions 954 to 1392 of the family's 1533-position model. The record is from RNAcentral.
GCUAAACGCGAAGAACCUUACCUGGCCUUGACAUCCAUGGAANCCCGAAGAGAUUCGGGAGNGCCGCAAGAACCAUGAGACAGGUGCUGCAUGGCUGUCGUCAGCUCGUGUCGUGAGAUGUUGGGUUAAGUCCCGCAACGAGCGCAACCCUUGUCCUUAGUUGCCAUCAUUAAGUUGGGAACUCUAAGGAGACCGCCGGUGACAAACCGGAGGAAGGUGGGGAUGACGUCAAGUCAUCAUGGCCUUUAUGGCCAGGGCUACACACGUGCUACAAUGGCAGGUACAGAGGGAAGCCAACCGGCGACGGGAGCUAAUCCCAGAAAGCCUGUCUUAGUCCGGAUUGCAGUCUGCAACUCGACUGCGUGAAGUCGGAAUCGCUAGUAAUCGUGAAUCAGAAUGUCACGGUGAAUACGUUCCCGGGUCUUGUACACACCG